CAGGCUUACUGUCGAACAAGUGGAUAUCAUCGGCAGUUGCUAUUUCUAGACCAGUGAGCAUAAGUACAUCGGCAAGGGUAGGAGAAGCAGGGCCAUGACCGAACACGAAAGCAUUGAGUGUGUCUGACCAGAAAUACGAAGCUGCUAUCAAUAGUGAUUCGUUUCUCUCCAUAUUGGCAAUUAAUAGCCUAAUGCACUGGUCUAGUUUACGCUCACCCUAUUGGACUUCAUUUGAGUUGCCGAUUCUCAGGAACCAAUCUUUCUACCCCUUGGUAGAACUAGGCCAGGAACGAAAGGUGUCUUUCCACAGAUCUAAUGAGAAGUUCUCAGCUCUAAAGGGGAUCCUAUUUGUUUCUACAUUUAUCAAAUCGAUAGGGUCUGGAUUUCCCAGUGGACCAAGGCAUUGAAAGUGGGGUUGAUCGGUGGGAAUAACGAUUUUCUCGGCCAAUUCAUAAAGGUUUGAAGGUUGAAAGAAAAAUAAAAGAAGAAAAAUACCAAGUAAAUAACCGUGCGAAAAAUUGAAAGUACGGUACAAAGAAGAAAAGUGAUGUUGAAUUGACCUCAGGGACGACGAAGUUGAUGUCCAUUUCUUCUCGAGAGGAGGAAGAGAUUGAAGACUCGAAGAAUCAUUGGAGGAGAUCCUUGCUGGAGUUCUUGAGUUUCUCGAGCAGCGCCGCCGCCAGGAAGAUGGGUUUGAGGAUGCAGAAUGACAAGAUGGAGGAAGAGUACCGGAGAAGGAAGUAUUUAUAGGACAAAGAGGGC
Molecule: long non-coding RNA, 762 nt
Filed under: Sorghum bicolor (sorghum)
Lineage: Eukaryota; Viridiplantae; Streptophyta; Magnoliopsida; Poales; Poaceae
Description: long non-coding RNA (SBIC_LNC006484)
Source: RNAcentral